AUUUAAAUAGUUUAAUUUAAAAUAUUGAUUUGUGGAGUCAAUGAUAUUUAUUUGUAUAAAUUUUAAAUU
Molecule: transfer RNA, 69 nt
Filed under: Cheumatopsyche brevilineata
Lineage: Eukaryota; Metazoa; Arthropoda; Insecta; Trichoptera; Hydropsychidae
Description: tRNA-His
Source: RNAcentral